RNAcentral lists this small nucleolar RNA (137 nucleotides) under Nannospalax galili (Upper Galilee mountains blind mole rat). Lineage: Eukaryota; Metazoa; Chordata; Mammalia; Rodentia; Spalacidae. The record is from RNAcentral.
AUGCACAUAUGUUUUAAAAAGUAGACGUUCUUUUCUUCUAUGUGAGCAGUGUUAUUUCUUAUGUGCUAUAUAAACAAUCGAAGGUUAAUUAGCAGGAUAUUGCACAUAGUAAUGCUACCUGUCCCCUUCACUCACAC